GACGAACGCUGGCGGCGUGCUUAACACAUGCAAGUCGAACGGUAAGGCCCUGCUUUUGUGGGGUGCUCGAGUGGCGAACGGGUGAGUAACACGUGAGUAACCUGCCCUUGACUUUGGGAUAACUUCAGGAAACUGAGGCUAAUACCGGAUGGGAGCUCCUGCUGCAUUGUGGGGGUUGGACAGUUUCGGCGGUUGGGGAUGGACUCGCGGCUUAUCAGCUUGUUGGUGGGGUAGUGGCUUACCAAGGCUUUGACGGGUAGCCGGCCUGAGAGGGUGACCGGCCACAUUGGGACUGAGAUACGGGCCAGACGCCGACGAGAGGCAGCAGUGGGGAAUAGUGCACAAUGGGCGGAAGCCGGAUGCAGCAACGCCGCGUGCGGGAUGACGGCCUUCGGGUUGUAAACCGCUUUCGCCUGUGACGAAGCGUGAGUGACGGUAAUGGGUAAAGAAGCACCGGCUAACUACGUG
This 468-nucleotide ribosomal RNA is filed under the name uncultured bacterium. RNAcentral's name for it is "partial 16S ribosomal RNA". It matches the Rfam family "Bacterial small subunit ribosomal RNA", at positions 28 to 507 of the family's 1533-position model. The record is from RNAcentral.